AAACAGCAUUCUCUUGGUAAUCUGGCAGUUGGACCCAGAGUUAGCUACAGGCUUUACACUUGUUGGUAUGCUGCUGAAAUGUUAUUGUGCAGAGAUGUAGGAAUGUGGUGUGGACAGCUGGGGUUUUUGUUUGAUUAAUAUGGAAAGCUCGAGGUGACGGACUUCACGAGAUGUGAACCACAACUAGCUAGCGUCAUGGCAAUGACGAAGGACUGGAUGGUGUAGGAAUCUUGAAGUAACCAUAGAAGAUCCUGUUAUCGUUGCCGAUAUGAAAUUUCCUUUCGAUUCGCAAGCCACCUACGUCGAAUGUGACUUGUUUAGUUGACAACUGUUCGGACUUUGAAACUGAUUUAAUUCAAAUUUGUCAGUGAUUUGAUCAGUCUUUUUUUUUUCUUUUUUUUUUUUAUAUAAGUAGAAUCGCGAUUCAUUGAUUUAGUGUAAACUGAAGACCUUUUAGAAAUUAAAUAUAUAUUAGUU
Gigantopelta aegis is the source of this 477-nucleotide long non-coding RNA. RefSeq lists it as uncharacterized. The record is from RefSeq and is a predicted model, not a curated record. NCBI's taxonomy places the organism in Eukaryota, Metazoa, Mollusca, Gastropoda, Neomphalida, Peltospiridae. The transcript has 2 exons.